RNAcentral lists this ribosomal RNA (253 nucleotides) under uncultured bacterium. Its description in RNAcentral is "partial 16S ribosomal RNA". It matches the Rfam family "Bacterial small subunit ribosomal RNA", at positions 524 to 776 of the family's 1533-position model. The record is from RNAcentral.
UACAGAGGUCUCAAGCGUUGUUCGGAUUCAUUGGGCGUAAAGGGUGCGUAGGCGGCGCGGUAAGUCGGGUGUGAAAUCUCGGAGCUUAACUCCGAAACUGCAUUCGAUACUGCCGUGCUUGAGGACUGGAGAGGAGACUGGAAUUUACGGUGUAGCGGUGAAAUGCGUAGAUAUCGAGAGGAACACCUGCGGCGAAGGCGGGUUGCUGGGCUGACACUGACGCUGAACUGCGAAAGCUAGGGGAGCGAACGGG